This 434-nucleotide ribosomal RNA is filed under the name uncultured bacterium. RNAcentral describes it as "partial 16S ribosomal RNA". It matches the Rfam family "Bacterial small subunit ribosomal RNA", at positions 29 to 507 of the family's 1533-position model. The record is from RNAcentral.
AGCGAACGCUGGCGGCAGGCCUAACACAUGCAAGUCGAACGAACCUUUCGGGGUUAGUGGCGGACGGGUGAGUAACACGUGGGAACGUGCCUUUAGGUUCGGAAUACCUCAGGGAAACUUGUGCUAAUACCGAAUGUGCCCUUCUGGGGAAAGAUUAAUCGCCUUUAGAGCGGCCCGCGUCUGAUUAGCUAGUUGGUUGAGGUAAUGGCUCACCAAGGCGACGAUCAGUAGCUGGUCUGAGAGGAUGAUCAGCCACAUUGGGACUGAGACACGGCCCAAACUCCUACGGGAGGCAGCAGUGGGGAAUCUUGCGCAAUGGGCGAAAGCCUGACGCAGCCAUGCCGCGUGAAUGAUGAAGGUAUUAGGAUUGUAAAAUUCUUUCACCGGGGACGAUAAUGACGGUACCCGGAGAAGAAGCCCCGGCUAACUUCGUG